Molecule: ribosomal RNA, 251 nt
Filed under: uncultured bacterium
Lineage: Bacteria
Description: partial 16S ribosomal RNA
Rfam family: Bacterial small subunit ribosomal RNA
Source: RNAcentral
UACGAGUGGCCCAAACGUUAUUCGGAUUUACUGGGCUUAAAGAGUUCGUAGGCGGCGCAGAAAGUAGGGUGAAAGCCCUCGGCCUAACCGAGGAAUUGCGCUCUAAACUACUGUGCUUGAGGAAUCUAGAGGUGAGCGGAACUGAUGGUGGAGCGGUGAAAUGCGUUGAUAUCAUCAGGAACACCGGAGGCGAAGGCGGCUCACUGGGGAUUUUCUGACGCUGAGGAACGAAAGCCAGGGGAGCAAACGGG